CAGGCGGCCGUGGCGGGAGGUGUGUGCCAGUGCCUCAUUUCCGGUACCUGUCAGCCAGCCUCCCCCGACCCAGCGCGAGACGGGCUGGGGCUGGUGGGCUCGCGCGCGGGGACGGUUGAGCGCGUGAGCCGAACUUCGCCGCCUCCAGAACUGAUUCGCCCCCGUGCGGCCCGGGACGUCCGAGGGGCCGGGGCCGGCGCCGUGGCGGGGCAGCGGCGCUCACGAAAAAACACAGCCCAGAAUUUAUGAAGAGCUCUACAGUAACCAGUCUGCACAUGAAAUGGAAGGGGAACAGAUUAUGGCAGCUGAUUUCUGUUUCAAUCUUCCAAGCGGUUGCUAUAAACAGAAGCUGACCUGCAAAGCCCUGGACAUCCACUACUGGCAAGGGGUGACACUAGUGUCAGAAUGACAUACUCGAGUUGGAAGAAGGAGCAACAAUAUAACUUUUCUGCAAUGCAUUUGCCACUAGAGAUAAGACUAUAAAUGUGGCAACACUUUCAAACCUGAUUGCCAAGAGUUUUGCUUCUAAAUUUGUAUUUUAUGUACCUAAAUUUAAGUGGCCUGAUUUUUCAGGCGUGC
This is a long non-coding RNA of Mauremys reevesii (Reeves's turtle), 579 nucleotides long. RefSeq lists it as uncharacterized. The record is from RefSeq and is a predicted model, not a curated record. The transcript is spliced from 3 exons. NCBI's taxonomy places the organism in Eukaryota, Metazoa, Chordata, Testudines, Geoemydidae.